This 1020-nucleotide ribosomal RNA is filed under the name Triticum aestivum (bread wheat). RNAcentral describes it as "partial small subunit ribosomal RNA". Lineage: Eukaryota; Viridiplantae; Streptophyta; Magnoliopsida; Poales; Poaceae. The record is from RNAcentral.
AUGCGCGGCGUUUGCCGCUCCUGGAGAUCCGCAGUUCCUGCUCCUACCCGAGCGCCGUUGCUGAUUCUGUCUUCUGUGAGAUCUGACCAGCCAACGGUCUUCUUGGCUGUGGUGGCAGGUUCAUUGCAGCUUCAGCAGAACCCUUUGUUCUUUCCACCAAGAGGUUCCCGAUGCUGGGGAAGCUGCAAUGGACUGCUCAGCCUUCGUGUAGCAGCAAGAACUGGAUUGACCCUCUGCCCCAACUGUGGACUGAGUUAUUCUUUGCCGGAGGUAGACGAGAACAUUGAUCUGAACAACUUCUGUGAGACCCGUCAGUUGGUCUGUACUUUUCCCGCAAAUCAUCCAGCAACAACAUGGUGGACGAAACUAGGUGAUGAACAGCAUUGGACAGGAUUUAACCAUGGAUUUGGAGUAUCUCCCAAAUCAAUAUAUUGGGACAAUGAGGAGAAUGCGGCAUGCAUUGCUUCUGCACCCUCUAGUUUGAUUGUGGACACCGUCUUUGAGCAGCGUGUACUACCUACAUCGGAUGAACUGCAGCAAGAACUUGAUGACCUGGGCAUUGAGCUUGAGUAUCCGGCGGCGCACGUCAUUCACAUUAUCCUUGAAGAAGACCCUUUGCUGGAGUUAUGGAACAAAAGAGGACAUCAUGUGUUCCGUGUUGAAGAGGAUAUAUAUAUGUGCAUCUUAUUGAGGAACACAGAAAACAAUAGCAUACAUGCUCGUCUGUAUGUCCUCAAUGUGGAUGAAGAAGCCUCCAUGAUACCAGCUGGUGACAUCGGAAAUAACGCGCUAUUCCUAGGAGCAAAUCAGGCGUUCGUUACAGCUGCCAAUCAGAAUUUGCUUCCCAAUACUGCUUAUGUGGUUGACGAUGACGGUGCAGUUCGAGCCCCCCAGGUAGUAAGAAUCAACUUUGCCACUGGGCAACAUACGGUCAUGGAGUACCCAGCAAACAUUGGACCAGUAAACUCAUACAUGUCGCCCAGUUGGAUCGAGCCACUGCCAGCUGGUCAUUGCAACUAG